GAUGAACGCUAGCGGCAGGCUUAAUACAUGCAAGUCAAGGGGGUAGCAAUACUACCGGCGCACGGGUGAGUAACACGUACAUAACAUACCAUAUACUGGGGUAUAGCUUUGGGAAACUGAAGGUAAUCCCCCAUAACAUUGCGAGAGGGCAUCUGAUUGCAAUUAAAGUUUCGACGGUAUAUGAUUGAUGUGCGUUUGAUUAGCUUGUUGGUAGGGUAACGGCCUACCAAGGCGACGAUCAAUAGCUGGCGUGAGAGCGCGACCAGCCACACUGGAACUGAGACACGGUCCAGACUCCUACGGGAGGCAGCAGUAGGGAAUAUUGGACAAUGGGCGAAAGCCUGAUCCAGCCAUGCCGCGUGAUAGAUGAAGGCCCUCUGGGUUGUAAAUAUCUUUUAUCUGGGAAGAAACAAUCUUAUUCUUAAGAUCUUGACGGUACCAGAGGAAUAAGCACCGGCUAACUCCGUGCCAGCAGCCGCGGUAAAGUA
RNAcentral lists this ribosomal RNA (488 nucleotides) under uncultured bacterium. Its description in RNAcentral is "bacterial SSU rRNA". It matches the Rfam family "Bacterial small subunit ribosomal RNA", at positions 28 to 527 of the family's 1533-position model. The record is from RNAcentral.